GCCGGGCGUGGUGGCGCAUGCCUGUAAUCCCAGCUACUUGGGAGGCUGAGGCAGGAGAAUCGCUUGAACCUGGGAGGUGGAGGUUGCGGUGAGCUGAGAUCACGCCAUUGCACUCCAGCCUGGGUGACAGAGUGAGACUCCGUCUCAA
RNAcentral lists this small RNA (148 nucleotides) under Pongo abelii (Sumatran orangutan). Its description in RNAcentral is "Metazoan signal recognition particle RNA (ENSPPYG00000036703.1)". Lineage: Eukaryota; Metazoa; Chordata; Mammalia; Primates; Hominidae. The record is from Rfam by way of RNAcentral.